Molecule: long non-coding RNA, 3311 nt
Filed under: Sus scrofa (pig)
Lineage: Eukaryota; Metazoa; Chordata; Mammalia; Artiodactyla; Suidae
Description: lncRNA (ENSSSCG00065008647.1)
Source: RNAcentral
UUUUUUUUUUUUACUUCUUAGGGCCGCAUCCACGACAUAUGGAGGUUCCUAGGCUAGGGGUCCAAUCGGAGCUGUAGCCGCCAGCUUACCCCACAGCCAGAGCAGCGCCAGAUGUGAGCUGCCUCUGCAACCUACACCACAGCUCAUGGCAAUGCCAGAUCCUUAACCCACUGAGCGAGGCCAGGGAUUGAACCUGCAACCUCAUGGUUCCUACCCCGAUUCGUUUCUGCUGAGCCACGACAGGAACUCCUGAAAUGCUUUAUUUCUAAAACUAUGGCCUUUCUUUCCUUUUGUUGGUUCAAGGAUCCACACAUCACAUUAACUUUUCUUGGAAAUAGUAAAGCAUGGAAACAUUUUAAUAGUUGAUGAAUGUUUUUUAACGAAGUGUUGCAAAAAAGACCUAGUUUUUCUAAGCUGCAAAUGGAGUCAGAUGACUCACUAGCCACCUUGACCUUGGAUGGGUCAGACUGUGCAUCCAGCUGACUCAGGCCCUUCUAAGUCCAUGUCGUGAUGGUUAGUGGUGGUCUUAGUCAAGCUGAGAGAGGAUGUUAGAGCAGGGGUGGUACCAAGACAACCUGUUGAAUGUGUAGGGUUGUUGAUAGCAGCUGCAGGUCACGUUUCUCUUUCAGGAUGGCCUCAGUGCUUUCUGCACUGUGACUUCUGUAUCUUAAACACACCACCAAUUCGAUAAUCCUAUAGUCAUUUUUUCUUGUCUAUUUAUCUUGGUGGUGAACCCAAGGCACAGAGGAUUUAAGCAGCUAGACUAAAGGCCAAUUUAACCACUGCCAGAAACUGAACUUUUUUUUUUUUCUUUUUUUUUUUUUUUUUGAUCUCUUGGGCCGCUCCCGUGGCAUAUGGAGGUUCCCAGGCUAGAGGUAGAAUUGGAGCUGUAGCCACCGGCCUACGCCAGAGCCACAGCAACACGGGAUCCAAGCUGCAUCUGCGACCUACACCACAGCUCACUGCAAUGCUGGAUCCUUAACCCAUGGAACAAGGCCAGGGAUCGAACCGGCAACCUCAUGGUUCCUAGUCGGAUUCGUUAACCACUGAGCCAUGACGGGAACUCCAGAAACUGAACUUGUUGAUCAGUACCAGCUCUUGUCUUAAAUAAGGUAUUGUGAAUGAUACUUACACAGCAAAAUAUUUCAUAACUUGUCUUAAGACACGGUAGAAUUAUACUUUCUGUUCUCUGUGGUUGGAAGGUAUAACAUAAAAUUCAACUACCCUUAGGGGUAAAUCACAGAUAAAAACCAUUAUGACCAAGCAGGCAUUAUUAUGUAAAAUCUAACUAUAUCAAGUGGAAUUAUUUAGACAGAAUUAUGGUGAAGCUAAUCUGAAAUCAGAUUCUACUUAUUUUGGGCCCCCAAACUCCUUUCAGAUGGUGAUAAAUGCUCCCCACAGUUUUACAUUCAUUUCUAGGAACGAAACACAAGACUUCUUCACAAUAUUGUUGGGAUCGUUUCCAUUUGUUCCUUAAGAGCCUGGUGAGAAGCACAUCCUAUCCAGCAGUAGAAUGGUAAGUAUUCAAAAAUCAAGCUCAUAAUUACCCGUGGCAUUUCUCAGUUUGCUUUUAGCCAAUGCCAUCUGGCAGAAGAGUGGCACCACUUCUAAGACACCAGCGGCAGAAAAACCCCGAGUCGCUGCUGUCUACAAACCUCCCUCUCACUGUCUACACUGCUGAUCUCUGCAACGGACAAGCCAAAUGUUGAUGCGGAUAUGCUUAAAAGUUGCCAGUGGGUCCCAACUUCUUUUUCUUUUGUUGCUAGGAGGGGCAGAGUUCAUUACUGACAAAGAAACCCAGAGCCAGAUUCGCGGUGGCACAUUCAGGCACCGAGGUCAUCUCUGGACAUUCUCUGGGGGGACUCCAGCCUCUGCACAUGGGGGAAGCCAGAGCCUGGCCAGCUUGAGUUGGACUGAGUCCUCCCAACAGCUCAAGGGGACCUGGCAAAGUUGAGUUCCCUUUGACACUUGCUGGGAAGACAGUCAGCAAACCCAAAGCAUUUGUACCCUCCUCCCCUGGCAACUAUAAAGUGACCACAUGUCCCGUUCCCAGUUUCUUUCAGUAGAAGAAAGCCCCAUUCCCACUCCCCUCUAAAAUAAGACCAGGAGUUCCUAUCAUGGCUUAGUGGUGAUGAACCCCACUAGUAUCCUUGAGAACGUGGGUUCGAUCCCUGGCCUUACUCAGUGGGUUAAGGAUCUGGCGUUGCCAUGUGCAGAUGUGGCUCAGAUCCUGUGUUGCUGUGGCUGUGGCUGGCAGCUGCAGCUCAGAUUCAACCUCUAGCCUGGGAACUUCUAUAUGCCAGGGGUGCAGCCCUAAAAAAAAAAAAAAAAAAAAAAAAAGACAGAAAAAUGAAGUGAGGCCAUAAUUCAUUUGACAGAAUUAUAACAUCUUGCCUCAUUUCCUUCUAAGUCCUGUUAAUACUUUUUGGUGUUGGCAUGAAGAAAAUUUUAAUUUUUGUACCAAACUACAAAAAAAAAAAAAAAACCCAAAUAAAUAGAAAGGAAAGGAAGACAUUGCGCUAAAUAUUUACAAAAGUUGCUAAAGAAAUUUAGGGGUAUCAGGAUGCUUUUAUGAAAUAUGAAAGUCUGGUGUAUAUUUCCAGAAUUUUAAUAAGUUUAAUUUCCCUUUCUAAAAAGUUUCAUCUCUUGGUGUUCAACACCAAGGCCCAUAUAUUGUCCUUCCAUCUCUGUGGUUUUUUGUUUGUUUGUUUUGUUUUUUUCUUUUCUAGGGCCGCACCUGCGGCAUAUGGAGGUUCCCAGGCUAGGGGUGGAAUCAGAGUUGUAGCCGCCGGCCUACACCACAGCCACAGCAACGUGGCAUCUGAGCUGCAUCUGUGCCCUACACCACAGCUCACAGUAACGCCGGAUCCUUAACCCACUGGGUGAGGCCAGGGAUCAAACCCACAACACGGUUCCUAGUCGGAUUCAUUAACCACUGUGCCACGACGGGAACUCCCAUCUCUGUGUUUUUAAUGCAAUCUCCUUUAUCUCCAAAUGUAUUUAUAUUAUCAUUCAUGUGGUUUUCUUAACUAUUGUUUGUUUUUUUUUUUGGGGGGGGCCUGGGCAUUUAAAAGUAUAAUUUUGUGAUCAAGUAUACGAGUCAAGGUUAAGUUCUACCUAAAUAUCAAGGUCAAGCUGACUUUUUGUUGGUUGUUGUUAGAAAAAUAAAAACGUCUAAAAACCAAUGAUAAUUCCACAUCAGUAAGGAUCAGAAGCAAAAAUAUUUGAAAGUAGAAGAAUGUCCCUCAGGGAUGAUCAAUUUUAUGAUGAUGAUUUAUUCCAAGGGCUAGUUUGCAAAAUGGCUAAGUUCC